ACAUGCCUACAACUUAGCGUUAAUGCACCAGAUCCCAUUAGAACUCUGCAGUUAAGCGCACACAAGCUAGAGUAGUAUUGGGAUGGGUGACCACCCGGGAAAUCCUAGUAUUUUAAAUGUC
Picea glauca (white spruce) is the source of this 121-nucleotide non-coding RNA. NCBI's taxonomy places the organism in Eukaryota, Viridiplantae, Streptophyta, Pinopsida, Pinales, Pinaceae. The record is from Rfam.